This 253-nucleotide ribosomal RNA is filed under the name uncultured bacterium. RNAcentral's name for it is "partial 16S ribosomal RNA". It matches the Rfam family "Bacterial small subunit ribosomal RNA", at positions 524 to 776 of the family's 1533-position model. The record is from RNAcentral.
UACGUAGGGACCAAGCGUUGUUCGGAUUCAUUGGGCGUAAAGGGUGUGUAGGUGGCGCCGUAAGUCGGGUGUGAAAUUUCGGAGCUUAACUCCGAAACUGCAUUCGAUACUGCGGUGCUUGAGGACUGGAGAGGAGACUGGAAUUCAUGGUGUAGCAGUGAAAUGCGUAGAGAUCAUGAGGAAGACCAGUGGCGAAGGCGGGUCUCUGGACAGUUCCUGACACUGAGACACGAAGGCCAGGGGAGCAAACGGG